GUUAGGCUAUUUUACUACAGGUUUUUUUUUUUUUUUUUUAAUCUUUUGUGAUUUAAUUAAUGUUAAAUUUAAUUAAACACUCUAUACUUUUUUUUAUUCAAAAAAUAUUAAGAAAUAUUAUGAUGCUUCUCACUUGCACUCUUUUUUAUUUAUUAUCGUUAUAAGUAAUAAAGUAUUUACUUGUUCACAUCCAAGAUGGAAAACACCAAUAUAAAUAAAAAGGACAACAAUCCCCUUAAAUUUAUAAAUUAAAAAUAAAAUGCCUUUCCCAAGCCAUUUGUGAAUCCAUGUAACUCAGCAUCCGUCUCCAAGAUCUGCCUGCAACUACUAGUCAUUAGAGAGACUCACAAAAACUUCAGGUAUAUAUGAUAACACUUGAUCAUCUUCAUGAGUUUUGCUUUUGCUUCCAAUAAACCCAAAGAGUUAAUUGUAUUUCUUCUCUGCAGUCUCGGCAUGGGAUAAAGAGGUAAUUGGACCUCUUCAGAAUCAUGGUGAUGAGCUUAUUUCGGUCUUCACAGGAAAUUUGAAGCUUCAGUAAUUUCAAAAAUCUUCACCCCCUUUUCAGUGCGCAUGGAUUACGCAUAUGUGUAUCAUAUAGUUCACUCUCCAAAGUUUUGUUAAUCUGUGUUUAGUUUCUGUAAAGCCUAAUCUCUAGUAGAAAAUAUCAUUUAUAUGUUACCAAGAUUUAAGAAUGUAUUAGGUUUGAUAAAAUUAAGCCAAGCAAACUCAUCCAUUUUCUAGUCAGAAGUUUGAUAAAUUAUAUAUUUUAAGUUCUAUGAGUUUUAUAUGGAAGUACAUUAUUAGAGAAAUAAUCUUUAUUAAUGCUAAAAUUGUGUCAGUGAUGUUGACACGUGGUUUGAUGAAUUCAUCGUUAAAGUGAUGUGAAAUCAUAUAGGGAGACUAAAAUAGACAUUAAAUAUUAGACUUGGAGCCACUCAGCCUUUUGGCCUAGUGGUUGGGCUGCUGGUGCCCUCACAAGCGUGAGGGUGGCGGUCCAAGCCCUCACAAAAGUAUUGAAUAAUUAAAUUAUUUAUAAGUCGUUCUUUCUUAUGAAAUACGAGUGGAGAAGAGACAUUUUUCAUCUGAGAGAGUUAUUUGUCUG
RNAcentral lists this long non-coding RNA (1102 nucleotides) under Citrus maxima (pomelo). RNAcentral describes it as "long non-coding RNA (CMAX_LNC000156)". Lineage: Eukaryota; Viridiplantae; Streptophyta; Magnoliopsida; Sapindales; Rutaceae. The record is from RNAcentral.